AUGAAGGAGACGGCGGAGGAUCUACUCGCUCGUCUCACCUUGCAGGAAGAAGAAGAGGACGACUUUGUCUGGGAGGAAGAAUUACCAGAUCAGAUGGAGCCGGCGAAGUGGCUGGCAAUCGCGAGGGUGCAUACGCCAAAAACUUUCAGCCUUAAUGCACUGUACGGUGACAUGAGAGCGGCCUGGAAUCCGGCCAAAACGGUUGUAUGGAGGAGGAUCAAGGAGAAUCUGUUUACGGCACAAUUUGGUUGUCUUGCUGAUUGGAAAAAAGCCAUGCUUGAAGGACCAUGGCUAUUCCGAGACCAAGCGGUGAUUCUAGAGGAAUAUGAUGGUUUCAAAAACCCAGACUCGUUCAAGCUGGAUAAGAUUGAAGUAUGGGCUCAGAUCCACCGCCUGCACGAUAACUUUCUGAUUGAGCCGGCUGUGAAGGGGAUGGUGUCACGGAUUGGUGAGGUGAUGGAGGUGCAGCUGAAAUUGCCUGUUGGUUUCUUCGGUGAAUUCGUAAGAGUCAGGAUCAAGAUUGAUGUGAAUGCAAAAACCAAAUUGUGA
Molecule: ribosomal RNA, 549 nt
Filed under: Triticum aestivum (bread wheat)
Lineage: Eukaryota; Viridiplantae; Streptophyta; Magnoliopsida; Poales; Poaceae
Description: partial small subunit ribosomal RNA
Source: RNAcentral